AAGGCUAUACUUUCAGGAAUCAUUUCUAUAGUUUGUUACAAGAGAAGUUUCUCUGAAUGUGUAGAGCACCAGAAACCACGACGAGGACGAGAAGGCACAGCAUUCUUUCCUAAAUGUGAAGCCAGCUCUUGGUGUUGCUUCAACUGCCACUUGCCAUUAAUGACAGUUCUUCUUUCCCACUGGGAGAAUAAAAAGGAGAGAAUGCAGUCCUUU
This 213-nucleotide small nucleolar RNA is filed under the name Homo sapiens (human). RNAcentral describes it as "small nucleolar RNA SNORD3@L40". It matches the Rfam family "Small nucleolar RNA U3". Rfam says of the family: Small nucleolar RNAs (snoRNAs) are involved in the processing and modification of rRNA in the nucleolus. There are two main classes of snoRNAs: the box C/D class, and the box H/ACA class. Lineage: Eukaryota; Metazoa; Chordata; Mammalia; Primates; Hominidae. The record is from RNAcentral.